Oncorhynchus keta (chum salmon) is the source of this 681-nucleotide long non-coding RNA. RefSeq lists it as uncharacterized. The transcript has 3 exons. NCBI's taxonomy places the organism in Eukaryota, Metazoa, Chordata, Actinopteri, Salmoniformes, Salmonidae. The record is from RefSeq and is a predicted model, not a curated record.
UAAGAAAGAGAGGGUAGGUAAGAAAGAGAGGGUAGGUAAGAAAGAGAGGGUAGGUAAGAAAGAGAGGGUAGGUAAGAAAGAGAGGGUAGGUAAGAAAGAGAGGGUAGGUAAGAAAGAGAGGGUAGGUAAGAAAGAGAGGGUAGGUAAGAAAGAGAGGGUAGGUAAGAAAGAGAGGGUAGGUAAGAAAGAGAGGGUAGGUAAGAAAGAAAAUGUAGGUAAGAAAGAGAGGGUAGGUAAGAAAGAGAGGGUAGGUAAGAAAGAAAAUGUAGGUAAGAAAGAGAGGUUAGGUAAGAAAGAGGGUAGGUAAGAAAGAAAAUGUAGGUAAGAAAGAAAAUGUAGGUAAGAAAGAAAAUGUAGGUAAGAAAGAAAAUGUAGGUAAGAAAGAAAAUGUAGGUAAGAAAGAAAAUGUAGGUAAAGAAAAGAAGAAUGCAGAGAAUAUAGAACGUGUUAGCUGGGUUAAAAGCUGUUGGUGGGAGAAAGGGGUUAACAAAGUAGGUCAGAAGUAAUACUCAAGUUCAAUGAAACAGUGUCAAUAGUGUAAUUUUAGGACGAAUCCUAAUUUCCACUUAAGUCAAAUUUAAUGUGGAAGUUAGGAUUCACCACUUAAGAAUAGAAGAAAUGUUAAGAUGAAAUUCAAGUACGCCUACAUAUGCAUAAUUUGUAUAUACUGUAAACAGAAAG